GAUGAACGCUUGCGGCAGGCUUAAUACAUGCAAGUCGGACGGUAACAGGGUCUUCGGACUGCUGACGAGUGGCGGAUGGGUGAGUAACGCGUAUGCAACCUUCCUCACACCGAGAAAAAGUCGACUGAAAAGUUGAAUAAAGUCUCGUGGUGUGCAUUUCUCGCAUGAGAGAUGUAUGAUAGAAGCAAUUUGGUGUGAGAUGGGCAUGCGUAUCAUUAGCUAGUUGGUAAGGUAACGGCUUACCAAGGCGACGAUGAUUAGGGGGCCUGAGAGGGUGGUCCCCCACACUGGGACUGAGACACGGCCCAGACUCCUACGGGAGGCAGCAGUAGGGAAUAUUGGUCAAUGGGCGGAAGCCUGAACCAGCCAUGCCGCGUGAUGGAUGACGGCCUUAGGGUUGUAAACAUCUUUUCUGCCAGAGGAAUAGAGUUCACGUGUGGACAGACGACUGUAUAGCAGGAAUAAGGAUCGGCUAACUCCGUGCCAGCAGCCGCGGUAAUACGGAGGAUUCGAGCGUUAUCCGGAUUUACUGGGUUUAAAGGGUGCGCAGGCGGGCUCUUAAGUCAGCGGUGAAAUGUCUGGGCUUACCCUAGGAAUUGCCGUUGAUACUGGGAGUCUUGGAUAAGCAUAAGGACGGCGGAAUGCGUAGUGUAGCGGUGAGAUGCUUAGAUAUUACGUAGAAGACCAAUUGCGAAGGCAGCUGUCUGGGUCUUUAUCGACGCUCAAGCACGAAAGCGUGGGGAGCAAACAGG
RNAcentral lists this ribosomal RNA (752 nucleotides) under uncultured Bacteroidales bacterium. RNAcentral's name for it is "bacterial SSU rRNA". It matches the Rfam family "Bacterial small subunit ribosomal RNA", at positions 28 to 776 of the family's 1533-position model. Lineage: Bacteria; Pseudomonadati; Bacteroidota; Bacteroidia; Bacteroidales. The record is from RNAcentral.